This 468-nucleotide ribosomal RNA is filed under the name uncultured bacterium. RNAcentral describes it as "partial 16S ribosomal RNA". It matches the Rfam family "Bacterial small subunit ribosomal RNA", at positions 28 to 507 of the family's 1533-position model. The record is from RNAcentral.
GACGAACGCAGGCGGCGUGCUUAACACAUGCAAGUCGAACGGAAAGGCCCUGCUUUUGUGGGGUGCUCGAGUGGCGAACGGGUGAGUAACACGUGAGUAACCUGCCCUUGACUUUGGGAUAACUUCAGGAAACUGGGGCUAAUACCGGAUAGGAGCUCCUGCUGCAUGGUGGGGGUUGGAAAGUUUCGGCGGUUGGGGAUGGACUCGCGGCUUAUCAGCUUGUUGGUGGGGUAGUGGCUUACCAAGGCUUUGACGGGUAGCCGGCCUGAGAGGGUGACCGGCCACAUUGGGACUGAGAUACGGCCCAGACUCCUACGGGAGGCAGCAGUGGGGAAUAUUGCACAGUGGGCGGAAGCCUGAUGCAGCAACGCCGCGUGCGGGAUGACGGCCUUCGGGUUGUAAACCGCUUUCGCCUGUGACGAAGCGUGAGUGACGGUAAUGGGUAAAGAAGCACCGGCUAACUACGUG